AGAAUCAACGCUGGCGGCGUGCCUAACACAUGCAAGUCGCACGAGAAAGGGUAGCAAUACCUGAGUACAGUGGCGCACGGGUGAGUAACACGUGAAUAAUCUACCUCCGAGUGGGGAAUAACUGAGAGAAAUCUUAGCUAAUACCGCAUAAUACCCACGGGUCAAAGCAGCAAUGCGCUUGGAGAGGAGUUCGCGGCAGAUUAGUUAGUUGGCGGGGUAAUGGCCCACCAAGACGAUGAUCUGUAUCCGGCCUGAGAGGGCGCACGGACACACUGGAACUGAAACACGGUCCAGACUCCUACGGGAGGCAGCAGUGGGGAAUUUUGCGCAAUGGGGGAAACCCUGACGCAGCAACGCCGCGUGGAGGAUGAAGCCCCUUGGGGUGUAACUCCUUUCGAUCGGGAAGAUAAUGACGGUACCGAUAUAAGAAGCCCGGCUACUUCGUGCCAGCAGCCGC
Molecule: ribosomal RNA, 457 nt
Filed under: uncultured bacterium
Lineage: Bacteria
Description: SSU rRNA
Rfam family: Bacterial small subunit ribosomal RNA
Source: RNAcentral